AACGUAGGAGACAAACGUUAUCCGGAGUUACUGGGCGUAAAGGGCGUGUAGGCGGUUUGUUAAGUCUGGCGUGAAAGCUCUCGGCUAAACCGGGAGAGGUCGUUGGAUACUGGCAAACUAGAGGAUGGUAGAGGCGUGUGGAAUUCCGGGCGUAGUGGUGAAAUGCGUAGAGAUCCGGAGGAACACCAGUGGCGAAGGCGACACGCUGGGCCAUACCUGACGCUAAAGCGCGACAGCAUGGGGAGCAAACGGG
Molecule: ribosomal RNA, 253 nt
Filed under: uncultured bacterium
Lineage: Bacteria
Description: partial 16S ribosomal RNA
Rfam family: Bacterial small subunit ribosomal RNA
Source: RNAcentral